UCUUCUUAUGACACAUCCCACAGAGGACGAAGCCCACACUGCGUAAAAAAAAUCUCGAUCCCCUCCUCUCUCUCCGAUGCAUCCAGUCGGUAGCACCCGGCGGCUGCCAGAUCCGUCCUCCCUUCGGAUCCACCAGCUCGACACUCUCCGUCACCGCCUUGCCCACCAUGGCGGCCAGCAAGGCGUCCCUUGGCGUUCGGCCAUCCCUGUACGGCGGCAUCAUGUCAGCGGCUGCAUCCAACUCUACUAUCGCCCGUCGGCCGCGUACAGGUCUUUGCUCUCUGCCAUCGGCCGCCUCCACCAUGUCUCCAGCUCCAUGCUGCCCGACUUGACAUCCUCUGCAUCAUAGUCAUCUUGGUUGCCGACGAAAGCUAGCUCUUCCUCCUCUGGGAUCGAUUUCACCUUCAUCUUGCUCUGCCACGGGUGGAUCUUCAGCCCCCUCGCAUAUGUGUUAUCCGUACUAUACUCCAGCCGGCUGGACGUGCAUGUGACGUGGGUGGCUUGACGUGCGCGUUCUAUUGGCAUAGGAAGCGGGCGGUUGUAGGCAGAGAAAGUUGCUGCCUACUUGCAGAGGGGAUUAGGAUUGUGUAUCAUAAUUAGGCGAGCUCAUUUGAUCUGUUUUGGUCUGGAUUAGUUAAAUCGUGAAUUGAUAAUUGUUUCUUGGUGCAGGAACUUUAAGUCAACCGGCUUGACGGCAACACGUACUAUGAGUUUCUUCCUAAAUCUGAAACUAUUUGGCCCAUAAAUUGUAAUCCCCUUGAGAAAGUUAGAGUCUUUAUGGAUCGGACUGGGUAAUGGAUGUUGACAAAUUUGAUUGCAGCAGGACCGGCAAACAAAGUGCAGUGCUCACCGUUGUAGAUAUAUUCAGGGUAGCAUCAAACUUCAGUGAAAAUGAGCAUUACUAGGCAGCGAGCUUCAUGCAUCAUUGGAUUUGAGAAUUCUGUACUAUGGUGAAUUAUUUUUGUUUCUUGGAGACACUAACAAUAGCUUCUUAUUAGUGCCCAUGGUGAAAGAGCUAUAUUGGUGUGCCUUUCUUGGAUUCAGAUUCUUAUAUUCGAUAUUAGCUACCUGCAGGAGUAAUAUUUACCGACGAUGCUCAAUAUGGCUGAACCUGCCGGCUGCACGCGGUACAUGCUCACGCGCGACAACGGUCCGCACAUGUAUGCCGCGUCAGAGGUGUCGCUACGGCUCAUCGCUGAGCUGCACCUAUGAGCACAUGUUUGCGCCUGACUGCCUUGGCCCGCUCAUGGCCAUCGCAGACACUGUCAUAUUCAAAGAUUGAUUGAUCUGGUGCUCUGGAUCAUAGCUACACGUAGGAGUUAGUUCUGGCGCCUAAUUUGUGAAAAGGUUCCGAGGUUCUAUAGACAUUACUUCUUCUUGUUUUAUACUUUGUCUGAAUUGAGAUUUCAUUCCUAUUUUUUUCAAAAGUUAGUUGUAUCCAACAACAACAUAAUACAUGCUCACUGGGAUGUUUUGCUUUGAAUUUUUGGACAUUACAUGCGAAAGCCGUAGCAACCGAGUGCUCAUUAAACUUUCUUAGCGUAAAAGGUCCAGAACUGAUAAACAUGUAUGUUGGAGAAUCAGAGAAGAAUAUCAGGGACAUCUUUGAGAAGGUUAGAUCAGCACGCCCAUGAGUAAUUUUCUCCGAUGAGCUUGAUCCCCUUGCUUCUGCACGAGGGUCCUCUCGCAGAUUCUGGAGGUGUGAUGGACAUAGUGGUGUCUCAAAUAUAAUUAACCUCAUCAAUGAGGUGGUGACUGGUGUCUCGGUUUUUCCUCUCUUUUUUUACCUGUGCCUCAGUUUUCCUUCUUAUUUUCUAUGUUUAAAUGUUGGGUAAACUAAUUCAGUUUCCCUUUCUCUCUCUUUACUAGCACAAAUGCCUGAUGGAGAUGCAUAUGUUUGGCAUUCCAUCAGUAAACAUACACUUGUGUACUACAUUUUGUGAUUGUGUAGUAUCCACACCACUACUAAUGCUAAAGUCUGUUGCCUUGCCGUGUAAUUGUGUCAUAUGCACACCAAUACAAAUGCUCUAUGCUCUUGCCUGAGAACACGUGUUUUGCUUUAUAUCAUAUCAUCUAACAAAGAUGUAAACUCUUUAAGUAAAAACAUACUUUAGCACUAUGAUCCAGUAUGUAUUGAGUAGUGGAUUAAUGUAUGUAUUUGGUAUCCUUGCAACUACUUAUUUAUUGCUUGCACCAGAAAUACCAAUAAGUUACUAUUGAUAAUUCAAAUAUACUAUCAGGAAAAUGUAAAGACACUGACGCACUGGUCUCAACUAGCUCUGCUCUGGUGCCAUUCAACCAUAUUGGUUCUGCACCCCGAGCACUCAACCCUACGACGGAGUUGGUUCUGCAUACUGUCAUUUUCUCCCAUCGCAAUGCACGAGCUCAAAUCGACAUUGUUUACCGGUUCAGUUUAGUAGCGCAUCUCCUUGUGAUCGCAUCUGUUGUUUAUUCCAUGAAAGAAACAUGUAUGCAGUUUUUUGGGUUUGUCUUGAAGUUCGUAGGAUAUCGUAGGAAUUGAUCAUGAACUCGAUGUCCUAUCCAAGAAGGGUGAGGUUGUUUAGGAGAGCACACAUGAGCCAUACUUUGGCGAGAGGUAGACACACUGAUUGAUUAGCCGCUUUUUGAUUUGUAUCACUCCCACUGGCUUGAUCUGCCUACAUAGAUGUAUGAUGUGGAUGUAAAAGAAUAAGUUUUGGAUUA
Long non-coding RNA from Triticum dicoccoides, 2703 nucleotides. RefSeq lists it as uncharacterized. The record is from RefSeq and is a predicted model, not a curated record. The transcript is spliced from 2 exons. Lineage: Eukaryota; Viridiplantae; Streptophyta; Magnoliopsida; Poales; Poaceae.